GAUGAACGCUGGCGGCGUGCCUAAUACAUGCAAGUCGAGCGAACAGAUGAGGAGCUUGCUCCUCUGACGUUAGCGGCGGACGGGUGAGUAACACGUGGAUAACCUACCUAUAAGACUGGGAUAACUUCGGGAAACCGGAGCUAAUACCGGAUAAUAUAUUGAACCGCAUGGUUCAAUAGUGAAAGACGGUUUUGCUGUCACUUAUAGAUGGAUCCGCGCCGCAUUAGCUAGUUGGUAAGGUAACGGCUUACCAAGGCAACGAUGCGUAGCCGACCUGAGAGGAUGAUCGGCCACACUGGAACUGAGACACGGUCCAGACUCCUACGGGAGGCAGCAGUAGGGAAUCUUCCGCAAUGGGCGAAAGCUUGACGGAGCAACGCCGCGUGAGUGAUGAAGGUCUUCGGAUCGUAAAACUCUGUUAUUAGGGAAGAACAAAUGUGUAAGUAACUAUGCACGUCUUGACGGUACCUAAUCAGAAAGCCACGGCUAACUACGUG
RNAcentral lists this ribosomal RNA (497 nucleotides) under uncultured bacterium. Its description in RNAcentral is "partial 16S ribosomal RNA". It matches the Rfam family "Bacterial small subunit ribosomal RNA", at positions 28 to 507 of the family's 1533-position model. The record is from RNAcentral.